AAGGGUAUGGCUGUUCGCCAUUUAAAGUGGUACGCGAGCUGGGUUUAGAACGUCGUGAGACAGUUCGGUCCCUAUCUGCCGUGGACGUUUGAGAUUUGAGAGGGGCUGCUCCUAGUACGAGAGGACCGGAGUGGACGAACCUCUGGUGUUCCGGUUGUCACGCCAGUGGCACUGCCGGGUAGCUAUGUUCGGAAGAGAUAACCGCUGAAAGCAUCUAAGCGGGAAACUUGCCUCAAGAUGAGAUCUCACUGGAGCCUUGAGCUCCCUGAAGGGCCGUCGAAGACUACGACGUUGAUAGGUGGGGUGUGUAAGCGUUGUGAGGCGUUGAGCUAACCCAUACUAAUUGCCCGUGAGGCUUGACCAUAUAACACCCAAACAAUU
RNAcentral lists this ribosomal RNA (381 nucleotides) under Pseudomonas sp. TTU2014-066ASC. RNAcentral describes it as "bacterial LSU rRNA". It matches the Rfam family "Bacterial large subunit ribosomal RNA", at positions 2567 to 2925 of the family's 2925-position model. Lineage: Bacteria; Pseudomonadati; Pseudomonadota; Gammaproteobacteria; Pseudomonadales; Pseudomonadaceae. The record is from RNAcentral.